Molecule: long non-coding RNA, 3038 nt
Organism: Herpailurus yagouaroundi (jaguarundi)
Lineage: Eukaryota; Metazoa; Chordata; Mammalia; Carnivora; Felidae
Exons: 6
Source: RefSeq, a predicted model, not a curated record
UCACUGGCCCGCGGCGGUCUUUGUCCCGUGGUCUAGCGCCUUUCCGAGCCUCUCGUCUUGGUCGUCUUGCGGUGCUUGGUGUCGUCGGUGAGGCCGCGUGCCAGGAAGGUUCGGAUGCAAGGAGGGCGUUAAAGGACAGGUGUGGCCCGGCCUCCGAGGGGCCUCCUUAAAGAGGCCGGGUCCCCUCCGCUCGCCCCCUUCGCGGCCGCUGGCGCCCGCGUUGGGCCGGCCGAGAGGAGCGGUGAGGGCGCACCUGCGAAGUGUUUUCGGCCACGGUGCCUCCUUGUUCAAACUCCUCCUAAGUAACCGUUGUGACUCUUCUCCAGGAGGGUGAGAAUUUCCGCUGGGCAAGUCAGGUUGGCCCGGCCCUGCGGUGGUCACCGCCCUGUCGCUCCUGGCUGUCCCGAGCCAACGUAUGACGAUUGAUGACUGAUAACAUUUACUGAUUAAUGGUAAAUACAAAACACAACUCCAGAUUACCCGGUGUCCAUGGGGAUGGCUGUCUGUACUUGUAUUCAUAAGAUACCCUGAAAUGGUCUUGGUGUCAGAGAAAGGAAUGUUGGAUGAUAUGGAAGAUGGAGGUGUGCUUUUCUCAAAGAAUUGAUCCAUUCACGACCAUUUAUCAGGUGUCUACAGUGUGUUCGGGCAUGUGCUGCAUUAGAGGGAAAUAAGAAAAGAGCUCCGAGUCCAGGGGUGGUGAGACAAGGUCAUGUUUAAGAGUUUCCAUUGAAGCCACGUGACUGGAGUGAGUAUAGGUAUUUAAAAUAUUUAGAACCAUUGACCUUGGAGUAUGAGAGACCUUGAAACUCUGUAUUACUGUUUCUUUCAUCCUUGUUCCAGUGAACAUUGAUGAUGUUCCUUGAUCCAAGCCAUUACAUGUGCGGUUAUUUAGGAUUCAGUGACCUUUGGUGAUGUGCCUGUGGACUUCACCUUGGAGGAAUGGACUCUUCUGGACCCCUCUUAGAGAACCUUACGCAGAGAUGCAGUACUGGAUGGAGAACUCCCAGAACUUGAGUAUGGUUAUCAACUCUUUAAACACACUUUUAUCUCAUGGUUGGAACAAGAAGAGUUGAGGACAAUGGAGAGAGGUAUUCCUCAGGGUGAGUGUGAAGAACAUCCCUCAUCAAUGAGAAGUUCAGUAUGUUUGGAAAUGUAACAAGAGGCUUCUUACGAGGAAACAGAACAAAUCUUUUGGGGUAUUCCAGGAGCCCUCUGGAAAAAUGCCAGGCUGGAGGCCCAAACCCUGGAGGUAGUUUAUUGUUUCAACCAAAGAGCAAAUGCUGAGACCCAUAUCCAAGUAGUUAUCUGCUGGGAAAGGAUACCCCAGGCCCACAUCCCAAAUGGCAUCACCCGUGCACAGAAUCUCAUUGCUGGCAGGGAUACUGGCCUAAGAUGACAUCAGUCCCUCCAAAGAUCUCCUGAAUAUAAAUGACUUCACCCAGUUCAUGAGCUUCUGCACCAACAAUAUCCGUUGCUGACCCUCCUAAUGCAGAAAGUAGACAAAGGACAAUUUUGCUGAUCUUCUUGAUAUUCUGUUUUGUUUCUGAGCUGCUUGCAGUCUGCUUAGCCCAUUGUCCAGUCAUACCUGCAUUCUGCCAAAACAUACCCCCACACUGCCAUGCUUGUAGGGGAAUCUGACAGAAAACUAUUUGUGUCAUUCUAAAAAUAACUUUUUUCAGGAGAUAACCUCACUCCUAUUUGUCUGCCUCUUAACCCUGUGGGAAGAAGACCACUCUCCAGCACCUUCUACGGCAGCCCUCCACCUUUCCACCAUGACCUCCUGCCCUGCAUCACCAACCACAAAAUACUAAUCUUUACAUCUAUUUUAUUAUUAGCUCAUGGCCUCCAACAGUGUAACUGCCAAGCUUGCCGCCUUGAAUAUUGUCAAAUGCACACUUUAUAAGUCCACAAAGAUAUUGUUAGAGUCCACAAAAUAAUUUCAUAUCUUUACAUAGUACCUACCAGAUUUAGUAGAGACCUUGGUUAUGGGCUAGCCUACAAGGACUUCUUAUACUCCCGUAAUGUUUUCCAUGUAUUCCAUGGCAACUUAAGCCAUACUCUCGGAUAAUCACCACUACCAUCACCCCAAAGUUUCCUUACUAUCAAACCAUCAAAAGAUCAAUUGCCUUAAUCAUGUUCUCUUUUGCUCUGUGUUUAUGAUGCUUUGACACUUUAGGGGUCAAUCUGUCCAGGAAGAUACUGCUCCUUCAGGUCUGGCUAAUCCCUAAAGAUAGUAAACAACUUAAUCAGGAACACUUCUUUCUUGUGGAAACCAAAUCAUCCAGUAUCCAAUAUCCCCAACCUCCUUUAACUCUUACAUGCAAAGCCAGUAUUUCUCCUACCUAAGUCAACCCAGGGCCAGAUACCAGAAAACUAGAUACAUUGCCUAUGACCCAAAAUCUGGUGGCAUUAGUCAAACGCCAAUUCUGUUCAGCCCUACCUUGCUCUUUCAGUGGAAACCCAAUGAAGACUGUGUCCUGUGUUUUCUCCUUUCUUCAGACCAAUUCUGAACCCUCAAGGGGAGUCAUGCUGUCUACCCUUUGGGCUGUGGUAAACUUUUCUUUCAGUGUUUUUAAUCUCCCUGUGUCUUUAUUCAGUCACUUUCAGAAAUUAAGAUCAAGGCACCAAUCUACCAUUUCUUUGCUUUUUUCAUAAGUUUUACUACCUAUGUAUAGAUCCCAAAGCAAAGUAUUUCCCUCCUUAGUUGAUUUUUGAACUAUAUAUAAAAGCUUUUGUUACUGAGUCAUUCCUUUGUUAUUUUAUUAACUCACUGUGUAUUAAUGUUCAAACUGAUUAGGUAAUUACAAUGUUUUUCCAAAGUGUUUGUGCAAUAUCUCUGUGGUUUAAUUUGCCUUUCCCUAUUACUGAUGGUAUGAACAUCUUGUCAAGUACUAUGGCUAUUUGUUUUCCUCCUUGUUGGAAUACCAGUCAUGGCUUUGGCUAAUUUUUAUAAUAGUUCUUUUAAAAUAAUUUUGAAGUCUUUUGUUAAACAAUGUGGUACUCCUCAUUCAUGAAUAACAAGAUUGCAUUAGUUUCCA